This 499-nucleotide long non-coding RNA is filed under the name Musa acuminata (dwarf banana). RNAcentral describes it as "long non-coding RNA (MACU_LNC008713)". Lineage: Eukaryota; Viridiplantae; Streptophyta; Magnoliopsida; Zingiberales; Musaceae. The record is from RNAcentral.
UAACGAGUCAUGCGACACCCUCAACACGUGAAACGGAAGUCUCCGGCAGACUUCUAGUGGGGAUCAGGAUCCAAUCAGCGUCUUAGUGUAACCUCGAGGUACUCAACCAAUCACACUAAGCCUAAAAGGUAGGCAACUCUUGCCGAUCACAACUCCUUGUGAUUCCCAUCCUGUUCGGCCUCCGAAUCACCAUGGCCUCGAGGGACUCGACCAACCAUGAUGCUCGGUUAAGUCAACACCUUCGUUACAAGAUGAGUAUGAUUUGAUGAUAUACCCUCGAGGGACUCGACCAAGCAUACCAUGCCCUCAGGUCACCGGUGACAUCUCUAUGUCGUAAGCAAGAUAGCGAAUCGCGAUAUAGGUGAGUCUCGAGGGACUCGACCAACUCAACCUACACCGGGAAUCGGUUCCUACUCAUAACGAUGGAAGGCCACGUGGGUCAAUCUAAUUGCCUCACAUUUACCGACUUAAUAUUAUCGAGAGAUGUUUCUAUGAUUUG